Molecule: ribosomal RNA, 483 nt
Filed under: uncultured bacterium
Lineage: Bacteria
Description: partial 16S ribosomal RNA
Rfam family: Bacterial small subunit ribosomal RNA
Source: RNAcentral
GACGAACGCUGGCGGCGUGCUUAACACAUGCAAGUCGAACGAUGAAGCGGGUGCUUGCACUCGUGGAUUAGUGGCGAACGGGCGAGUAACACGUGAGUAACCUGUCCUUUUCUUUGGGAUAACGGCUGGAAACGGCUGCUAAUACUGGAUAUUCAGGCUGCAUCGCAUGGUGUGGUUUGGAAAGGUUUUUUCUGGGAUUGGGUGGGCUCGCGGCCUAUCCGCUUGUUGGUGGGGUGAUGGCUUACCAAGGCUUUGACGGGUAGCCGGCCUGAGAGGGUGGGCGGUCGCACUGGGACUGAGAUACGGCCCAGACUCCUACGGGAGGCAGCAGUGGGGAAUAUUGCACAAUGGACGAAAGUUUGAUGCAGCGACGCCGCGUGGAGGGUGUAGGCCUUCGGGUUGUGAACUCCUUUUUCUCGCGAAAAAGGCACAGUUUUGGCUGUGUUGAUGGUAGUGGGAGAAGAAGCGCCGGCUAACUACGUG